GCAUAUCAAUAAGCGGAGGAAAAGAAACCAACAGGGAUUGCCCUAGUAACGGCGAGUGAAGCGGCAACAGCUCAAAUUUGAAAUCUGGCUCUCGGGCCCGAGUUGUAAUUUGUAGAGGAUACUUUUGAUGCGGUGCCUUCCGAGUUCCCUGGAACGGGACGCCAUAGAGGGUGAGAGCCCCGUCUGGUUGGAUGCCAAAUCUCUGUAAAGUUCCUUCGACGAGUCGAGUAGUUUGGGAAUGCUGCUCUAAAUGGGAGGUAUAUGUCUUCUAAAGCUAAAUACCGGCCAGAGACCGAUAGCGCACAAGUAGAGUGAUCGAAAGAUGAAAAGCACUUUGAAAAGAGAGUUAAAAAGUACGUGAAAUUGUUGAAAGGGAAGCGUUUAUGACCAGACUUGGGCUUGGUUGAUCAUCUGGGGUUCUCCCCAGUGCACUCUUCCAGUCCAGGCCAGCAUCAGUUUUCGCCGGGGGAUAAAGACUUCGGGAAUGUGGCUCUCUUCGGGGAGUGUUAUAGCCCGUUGUGUAAUACCCUGGCGGGGACUGAGGUUCGCGCAUCUGCAAGGAUGCKGCKWWAKRYYCCGGGG
Molecule: ribosomal RNA, 582 nt
Filed under: Fusarium annulatum
Lineage: Eukaryota; Fungi; Ascomycota; Sordariomycetes; Hypocreales; Nectriaceae
Description: eukaryotic LSU rRNA
Rfam family: Eukaryotic large subunit ribosomal RNA
Source: RNAcentral